AAAAAGAAAAACUAACUUGGUAUUUUCAGGAAGAUGAAAGGGUUUUAAGUUCAAUCCAACGGUUCAAACAAUCAACCGUCGCACUCUCUACAAACAGCCGCCAUCGGCGAUCCACGCCACCGCCGGCAUUUAUCGGCGAUAAGCUGGCUUCCUCUGAAAUCUCUUUAAGAGUACAGGCGUAAACACGUUUAAGACUGCCAUUAACGGGCUCAGCUUCGAGGGGUCAGGAUAACCAUGCCGCUCUAUGAUUGUAUGCUUCUGUUCAAACCCAAUGUACAGCAGGUAGCUC
Carica papaya (papaya) is the source of this 289-nucleotide non-coding RNA. The record is from RefSeq and is a predicted model, not a curated record. NCBI's taxonomy places the organism in Eukaryota, Viridiplantae, Streptophyta, Magnoliopsida, Brassicales, Caricaceae.